Molecule: ribosomal RNA, 669 nt
Filed under: uncultured bacterium
Lineage: Bacteria
Description: bacterial SSU rRNA
Rfam family: Bacterial small subunit ribosomal RNA
Source: RNAcentral
GACGAACGCUGGCGGCGUGCUUAACACAUGCAAGUCGAGCGGUAAGGCCCUUUUGGGGGUACACGAGCGGCGAACGGGUGAGUAACACGUGGGUGACCUGCCUUCAGCUCUGGGAUAAGCUUGGGAAACUGGGUCUAAUACCGGAUGUGACUGUCUGCCGCAUGGUGGGUGGUGGAAAGUUCUCGGGCUUUGGUCUGGGUUCGGCUGGGGAUGGGCCUGCGGCCUAUCAGCUUGUUGGUGGGGUGAUGGCCUACCAAGGCGACGACGGGUAGCCGGCCUGAGAGGGCGACCGGCCACACUGGGACUGAGACACGGCCCAGACUCCUACGGGAGGCAGCAGUGGGGAAUAUUGCGCAAUGGGCGGAAGCCUGACGCAGCGACGCCGCGUGGGGGAUGACGGCCUUCGGGUUGUAAACCUCUUUCGCCAUCGACGAAGGUUCUGUGGUUGUGAGGCUGCAGGGUUGACGGUAGGUGGAGAAGAAGCACCGGCCAACUACGUGCCAGCAGCCGCGGUAAUACGUAGGGUGCGAGCGUUGUCCGGAAUUAUUGGGCGUAAAGAGCUCGUAGGCGGUGUGUCGCGUCGGCCGUGAAAACCUGCAGCUUAACUGUGGGCGUGCGGUCGAUACGGGCAUCACUGGAGUUCGGCAGGGGAGACUGGAAUUCCUGGUG